This 468-nucleotide ribosomal RNA is filed under the name uncultured bacterium. Its description in RNAcentral is "partial 16S ribosomal RNA". It matches the Rfam family "Bacterial small subunit ribosomal RNA", at positions 28 to 507 of the family's 1533-position model. The record is from RNAcentral.
GACGAACGCUGGCGGCGUGCUUAAUACAUGCAAGUCGAACGGAAAGUCUCUGCUUUAGUUGGGUGCUCGAGUGGCGAACGGUUGCGUAACACGUGAUUAACCUGCCCUUGCCUUUCGGAUAACUUCAGGAAACUGGUGCUAAUACUGGCUAGGACCUCCUGCUGUUUGUUGUUGGUUGGUAAUUUUCGGCGGUUGGGGAUGGACUCGCGGCUAAUCAGCCUUUUGGUGGGGUAGUGGCUUACAAAGGCUUCGACUAGUAGCCGGACUGAGAGGGUGACCGGCCACAUAGUGACUGAGAUGGGAGCAGGAGGCAAACGGGAGGCAGCGGCGAGAAAUAGUGCGAAAAGGGCGGAAGCCUGAUACAGCAACGUCGGGUGCGAGAGGACGGCCGUCGGGUAGGAAACCGCGUGCGCCUGUGACGAAGAGUGAGUGACGGUAAUGGAUAAGAAAGCACCGGCUAACUACGUG